UUAUGGUGGAUGCAGUGCAACGACUCUGCUUUCUUCUUUGCAGCAGAUACUUCAGUACCCACAAAGCAGACGACUGGAACUUGCCUUACCACACCAACUGCCAGCUCUGCUGAUGUUGCCAAUGCAGAAUGAAGUCAGACUUGGCAGGCACUCUGAAGCAAUGAUUAUAAGUAGAGACAACCAUGAAAGCAACCAGCUCAGGAAGCUAAGCUCCACCUAACGCUGCACAACCCACACAGAAAGCCUUGAUAUGUGCACAGGACUGGCCAUGGGAGAUACCUGUAAUCCCUGACAGUGUCCAAACUUCAGCUCUUGUGGUCGGAAAGGCUCUUGCAGGUGGAUUUCAGUACCAGCAAAGCUAAUGAUCCAUCCUCAGACUGCAGUUCAGAUGAAAUGGGGCUGGUUCUUGCAGAGGCUCCGACUCAUCAGACAUGCUAUUCCCCAGCGACCAGCUGUCUGUGCUGAUCUAAGAAGCAGACAGUGGAGCAGCAGUGCUCUCUUUUGCAAUGCAUCCUACCUCCCUGGCUUGGAGAACAGCACUGAGAAACACUCAAGCUCACACUCAGAAAGCCCCAGUUUUUUUCCAGUGGUUUUCAGAGGCCAAAAGGAUUCUGCUCAGGCACUCAUUGAAGUUGUCACCAGCUAAUGAACACUCCUAACUAUGGGGAGAGGACAUUGUGGGAUCCCUCAGCCAGGAGAGGACUCUCCACCCUGGACAGCAUCACAAGGUGCAGAACCAGUCUAUGAUUCUAUGUACUAGAUGUGAUCAGGGGACAAAGCAGGACCAGGAUCAAACCUUCCCACCAGAUCCUAACAAAGCCUGUGCCAGGAGGAUGAUACCAGAGACUCCUCCAGGACCACGCUGCCAUCAUCAUUUCAUGUCACUGUUAACAGCUUUCCGCAAUCACACAGACCUUGCCAGAUGUCACUAACAGGAUUUAGAUUAUCCUCUGCAUUCCUUGUGUCAGCUGCUUGUCUGAUCACCCCUGGCUAUAAUCGGUUUGGUGCUGCAGAACAGCCUGACUUCCAGCAAGGACUCUCUGCAGCUGAGCUGAUGUCCCCUCUGUGCCACUGCUGAACAUUUCAGCUGCUCCAUGACAGGGAGACUCAGUGAGGACCUACAAAACGAAAAGCUUGAGGGACACAUGGGACACACCAUCACGUCCUAUACAGUCCCUUGUAGAGUCUAUGGUUCUAAUGCUGUGGGCUCAGAGGAUGGGCCAGCAUCUGAAGAUGCUGCUCUCUUGCUGCCUUUCCUUGCAUACUCCCAAUAUCUGAGCACUGUGUCAUUGCCAGCUGUUAGCUUUCUUUCUGAAGUCAUGUGCAAGCUUAAGAACUUUCUGCAGACCUAGCAGGCUUCACAUCUGAACUAGUUUUAGAAGACAAGAUUGUGGAAUUACGCAUAGACUUCAGGCAGUGGAUAAUAAUCCUAUUGGCAAGUGCCCUAGGGGAGAGGUAAAAGCUUCAUGGUCCAUUACACACAAAAGGAAGAAAAUUAUGAAGAUAAUGUGCAAGGAGAAGAAGGAGAAAGUGCAAUGCCUUUCCUCUGAAUAGCCUCCACUUCAAAAACUAGAUUUGUGUGGAAGCAUUAAGAUUUUCAUCCCUUCAGUUGUAUUUCUCUGGAAUAUUCCCCUCUAGUUUCCUAACUUAGCUCUAAAGUAACUUUCUUUUCAGCACAAUGCACUCAGAUCCCCAGCCCCUGUAUACUCAACAGCACUCAAUCAGGCAGCUAUCACAAGCAAUGCUUUCUUUCCACUUGCAAUUUGUACAACAGGGGGGGAAAAACUAAACCAUUCAGUACAGAACACUGCAUCCAUCACCUGCAUGUUAAAGCCACCCUGACUUUGUCUCCCUCAACCUCCUGUGAAAUUUUCCUCCUCAUAUUUUCCCAUUCUGGUUAAAAAGAUGGUAUUAUCAAUUCAGUUCUACGACUUGAGACUUUUUUGGGGGGGUGAGAAGCAUCUGUAGCUUCCUCCUAUGCAAAGAAAAAUGAUCUCACAGUGUUUGGUGCAAGGCUAAGUCAAGCUACACUCAGCGAGAGGAUGUCUAUUCAAGGACCUCAGCAUUCAAGGUCGCCAGCGCUUCAUCAUCAGGCGUAACAGGAGAAGCCAGUUACUAAUCCCAGUAGUAUCUCAGAAUCAUUAAGGUUGGAGAAGGGCUUCUAAGGUCCGACCCAAACCCAUCCCCACAAUACCCAUCUCAUAACCACCUCCAUGGGGCGGAGGUCCACUCCUUCCCUUAUCACCCCAUUCCAUUGCCCGACCUCUCCUUCGGAGAAGAAAUACCCAAUACCCAACCUGAAAGAUGGAUAUUAGCAAAGGCUUUUUCUAGCUCGGCUUUCAAGGAAUAACCAAGUCAAAGCGAAGGCGGCUGCGAUGUAUCCUACAACAUAUAUCCGAACCCAUCGCUUCCGAUUGCCCCGACGGCCGCGCUGCUCCGCAUCCCCCGCUCUACCCUCUCCUCCCUCCGCCUUUCCCGUAGGGCUGCCGGCUCCCCGGGCAUCCCUCGGACCGGGUCCAUCCCCGUUACCUUCCGUAGAUAGCCGGGCUCUGAACUGCGACGGCAGCGGGGCAGGGGCAGCUCCGCUGUCCGGUGGGGAGGGCGGAGCCGGGGCGGCGCCCGCACAUCAUCAUCAUCAUCCCGCAGCUCCAAGCCUUCGUUCUGUCUGCUGUCCGCUCAUCUCCACCGUCUGUUGGGGUUAUUGCAACAACUGGACAGUGAAAUAACCGAGCAAACAGCUGGAACAGCCUUGUGUUAAGCACUCCAGAGUUAAGCCUCCCCACUGCUCACCAACCCACCUUCAGUUUGCAUACACACUGGCACACCUGAGCCCAUGUCACACCCAUACACUCACUCCCAUAACAAACAGAGAGCCCAGGAAAACAGAAGUGGAGCUCAGAAAGGAGGUAGGACAAGCUGUGCUGACAGAGCACAGCAUACAAGCAUCUGACCAGCACAGAACAACACAAUUAUCAAGGUUGGAAAACAAAAACUAGAAGAUCAUCCAGUCCAACCAUCACCAACACUUCCCAGUUCAAUCAUAUCCCUCAACAUGCAAACUAAUUGUGCACUGCAGCACUACAGAGAUGGGGACACAGGAACACACACACACAGUGGGGUCAGCAGUUCCUACCCUCCUCUGACACCAGUCCUUGAUGUAAAAAAAUGUCCUGUUCUCUAUUUAAACUCCUUUGCUUCUGUCUGCAGCCCUUUAUUUAGCACCGGGUUGGGCAGGAAGAGUUGCCUAUUGAAAGGUAUUGAUUUUUUUCUGUUUUGUGCCUUUCUGGUUUUGCUUUUUCAUACUCCCUAAUUAGCUGGAGCAUUUCUGCACUGCAGUUCCUUCUGCCUUUACCUCUGAUGCUCUUUAUGCUUCUAGCCCAGGAGCUGCCCUUCUCCUAGAUCAACACCCAGAGAAACUGUGAUUAUUUUUCACUUCUGCUGAUGUAAAAGCUUACCUUGGCACCAUUCACAGUCAGUACUGUUUUGUGAUUCACCAAACUUCACCAAACACCGAACUUCACAAAAACAAACAAAGAUUUGGGCCUGCCAUUAAAUAACAUUAAACAGUGCCCUAGAACAAGUUUUGCAUCAACUGCUGACUCAUGCAGCUUUCCUAGACAGCUCACAUCACACCCCUAUUCUAACCAGUACUGAUGGGUAGCUCCAUAGGAACUCCUUGAGUUUUCUUCUCAACAAAGAAAGCACAGCUUUGUCCUUCAGCCCUCUGAGUGUGAGCGGGCACAUUGCUGCCCAGCCCCAUUCUAUAAUGAUGCUUGGUCCUCCAAGCCCUUAUUUAAGGAAACAAUUUCAGAUCACUCAGUGAGGAAUACACAAGUGGACUCCUUAACAGCACUACUCAGAUUGAUGCUGCUGUAGAAUCAGUUCAGGUAUCUUUUAUCCCCCCUAUGUUAUGCCCUCAGUUUACAUAAUACCCACAGCGUCCUGUGGGUUUGAGCACUGCUUUAUUUAUUGUUACUUGGUCUGAAAAAAGAAAAUACCUCUCCCAGUUUUGACGUCAGCGAUGGAAGCAGCUCUCCCCAGCAGCACUAUGCUGAAUGCACUCCUGCUGGAGGAUGUACGCAGUCUCCUCCUUUGUCCUUAACAGAGGUCACUACAAUAGGGUUUCUAAAGUCUCUGUUUCUCCAUUUAAGCUCUUUAGCGUUCUGCUUCCCCUUCAGAUUAGCUGCUCAGUUGACAGCUCUGCUACAGCAGCAUUAAAAGGAGUCAUUCUGUUUCCAGUUUGGAUUUUGUCUUUCAGUUAAGCUAUCUGUGCUGAGACAUCUUCCUCCUUAUACAGCCACCAAAAGAGUCCUGCUAGACAGAUGUGUUUGGCACUGCUGACUCUCCUGGACCUGCAAAACCAACAUGAGCUGCAAUUCAGACCAGACCUUCUGGUUGGAAUUAGUUGAGUGGAUCAGACUUCAGGUCUGGUCAAGUGAGAAGCAGAGCUCCAACCAUGUGUACUCAGAUGCCUUUCUGACAGACUUUGUCUCUUCAGUGAGAUGGGGAUGAUUUUAUGCACUGCAGAACUGAAGAGAGAGACUGAAUGCAGGGAAAGCUGUGCUCCCUCUGGAUGUCUGUUAACAUAGAUGGGGGUGGUUGGACUUCUGUGAGCACCAGUGUUGCUGCACAGAUGUCCCAGGCACUGUGUACUGGGAUUUAUUCACGUACCAUUGGAGUAGACAAACUGUCUGGAAACUUGCAGAAUUCCUACAUAAAAGCCCUUGUCCUUUUUGGUGGGGCCUUGGUGGGCCCAAGGUUACAGAUUCAGACUGGAGAGCAGAUAAGAAAGGAAGUUAUCCAGUAGUGUCUAUCUGAAAGAACAAACAAACAAACAAAACAGCUUGUGCAGUGACUUGGCUGACCAAGCUCCCAAGGUGACACACUGCCAGGGCCGUCCUAUCUAUCUGGGAAGGUCUACUCAAGCAUUAUCCUACCCUUGAUAACACUGAUGACUUUUGUCACCAUGCCCAGGGGUGUCCCCACACCUUUGGGGACAGAGAGGUGGAGGGAGAAGGGGAAGGGUGUAUACAACCUGCUUAUGGCUGUUUGCCUUAAUCUUGGUUAUUUAUUCCACAUUCAUGUGCCCCUUACUCCUCACUCUCUGCCCCUGCUCUGUGUGGGUUACCUCCAUGGGAUGCUCUGCUUCCUUGGCUGACCUUGAGUUGGCUUCCCACAGCUCUUCAAGCCCUGCUCCAACAUGAGUCUGUAACCACAGAACCAAUAUUUGAUGUCAGUGUUUGCAAUUCUUAGUGAGCUCUAAAAGCGUUAUCAGAGAUUUAUGAUGUAAUUUUACUCUCCCCGUGCUUCCACUUUGAAAGCAGCUGUUCAUAAGUGGACAUACCACCAAAAGUGAUGAGGUGUAUGAGGUGAGCUGUGAAGUGAGAGACAGUUCUCUCUGGUAAGAUAGGGCUUGUAAAAGUAAGGUAUGUAUGAGGGCUGUUCCUUCAGUUCGAAUUGGCAGAUGCAUUCUUUGUUGUUUUCAGGCUGGCUUGGUGAAACCCAGGAAACAUAUCUUUGCACAGUCACACUGACUGUGUGGAGCCCAUAGAGACAGAUUAUAGAGGGGCAAACUGAAAUGUAUUGGCUAGAUGGAGAAAUUCUUUUUGUUUGCACAAAGGCAAACGCAGCCAUUAGUGUACAUAUCUGUAUUGAUUCUUCUGAUGGGGUGAAAGGGUCGACACGGUAGGUAGCACCAAGGCUCCAGCAUUAUCUACUUCACUUCCCUCCUGUGCUUCUGCAAGACUUCCCCUGUGCCUCAAAAAUCCCUCUGGUAUGCACUGGUGAUAAACAUCCUGAUCUGAUUCCAGCAGUGGAGGCUUCUGGUACUUCUCUAAUUUGUUGGUAUAUGUUCAAGCAGCUUGUUUGUACCUGUGUCCAAUCCUAGAGCCAAAGAAAUUCCCAAGGUGGAAGAGAUCUCAGUGUGGCAUUCCAGUACUUAGAGAGUGCCUACAGGAAAGAGGAGGAGGAAGUGUAAUGAGAGGACAAGAACAAUAAACCAGUGGGAUGUGUGACCUCAUUCUUAGGAAGCCAAGGCAUCAGUCUGGUUCAAUAGCACUGUUGCAAUUCUGGGUGAGUUCCCAAGUCGCCCAUUGGAGACUAUUGGUGCAAUUUUGCUUCUGUUGCACUUGGUUCUUUCAAAUUAGUUGUCCACAAAUAUCAUACAUAGCACUGAAAAGCAAUAAUGUGAACAAGGUGGGAUUGCAAAGCAAGGGCUAUUUCUCUCUGGUAAGAGAGGUCUUGUAAAAGUCUGUCAAAGAGAGCUGAUCCAUUUUUUUGAGUUGAAUAUAUAACUUGAUAGCCCCCAAGUUUCCCUCAGCAACCUCAUCACUGCCAGCCUGAGCUAUCAGGAAGGGACAAUGAUAAGAGGAGUGAUCCAGACCAGGAAGUUUCCUGAUGUCCCUGACCAAAGCCCCAGAGCUGCAGCACACUUCCCUACUAGAAGGGUGCAGCCAACACACUGGGCCCUUUAUUUCCCUCAGAAGAGAGUCACUUGCAAGUCAAAUGAUGAGGUCUCCUUUUUUGACCCCUAACAGGGGCUAUUCCCAUCUCUAAGACUUGCAUCACAGUCAUGAAAAUCUGCUGUGUUUAAAAUCCCAUUAAUCGUUCACAGAUUACAGCAGUGCAGCCUUGCUCAUGCUUUACCUUGCAUAAAAGCAAUAUCCAUGAGGCUCUAAUGGAAUGGCAAACUAGCACAGACCUGCAGGAUAACACACAGCCAACCCUUUCUGCUUUUAUUUCUGAGUCUUGUCUACACAUGUGAGAAACUACAUUAUUUAGAAACUAGAAAAAUACAUAAUCAUCUUGCUCAUCUUUCUCAUUUUCCUUUGUUUUUCUUCAAUACAGACUGAUACCGAAGUUGGAGGGUGUAAGCCUUAGAAAGCCAGGGAAAUAUUACCAAAGAACCUCUACUUUGGUCGUCAGCAGAAAUAAGUCAGUACCAGAGUAGUUUGUGAUGUGACAGAACUGCUCUCCCAUUUAUUUAAAAUCAAACUCCCUCUGCACUGGAUUCAAUAACAACAUAAUUUUACAGACAGGUUCGGUAACAUUGAUAGCCACAGCACGCCGCAGUUUAGAGGUAGGUGCACAACAAAGCGACUUGUUAGCACUUCAAACUUCAUGAGAAAAGAUGAA
This is a long non-coding RNA of Coturnix japonica (Japanese quail), 7134 nucleotides long. RefSeq lists it as uncharacterized. The record is from RefSeq and is a predicted model, not a curated record. NCBI's taxonomy places the organism in Eukaryota, Metazoa, Chordata, Aves, Galliformes, Phasianidae.